UUUGAGAGUGUCUUUACGAGA
This 21-nucleotide non-coding RNA is filed under the name Arabidopsis thaliana (thale cress). Lineage: Eukaryota; Viridiplantae; Streptophyta; Magnoliopsida; Brassicales; Brassicaceae. The record is from RNAcentral.